GACGAACGCUGGCGGCGUGCUUAACACAUGCAAGUCGAACGGAAAGGCCCUGCUUUUGUGGGGUGCUCGAGUGGCGAACGGGUGAGUAACACGUGAGUAACCUGCCCUUGACUUUGGGAUAACUUCAGGAAACUGGGGCUAAUACCGGACAGGAGCCCCCGCUGCAUGGUGGGGGUUGGAAAGUUUCGGCGGUUGGGGAUGGACUGGCGGCUUAUCAGCUUGUUGGUGGGGUAGUGGCUUACCAAGGCUUUGACGGGUAGCCGGCCUGAGAGGGUGACCGGCCACAAUGGGACUGAGAUACGGCCCAGACGGCUACGGGAGGCAGCAGUGGGGAAUAUUGCACAGUGGGCGGGAGCCUGAUGCAGCAGCGCCGCGUGCGGGAUGACGGCCUUCGGGUUGUAAACCGCUUUCGCCUGUGACGAAGCGUGAGUGACGGUAAUGGGUAAAGAAGCACCGGCUAACUACGUG
RNAcentral lists this ribosomal RNA (468 nucleotides) under uncultured bacterium. RNAcentral describes it as "partial 16S ribosomal RNA". It matches the Rfam family "Bacterial small subunit ribosomal RNA", at positions 28 to 507 of the family's 1533-position model. The record is from RNAcentral.